UACAGAGGGUGCAAGCGUUGUUCGGAAUUAUUGGGCGUAGAGCGCGUGUAGGCGGCUUUGCAAGUCGGGUGUGAAAGCCCUCAGCUCAACUGAGGAAGUGCGCCCGAAACUGCAGAGCUUGAGUGCCGGAGAGGGUGGCGGAAUUCCCCAAGUAGAGGUGAAAUUCGUAGAUAUGGGGAGGAACACCGGUGGCGAAGGCGGCCACCUGGACGGUAACUGACGCUGAGACGCGAAAGCGUGGGGAGCAAACAGG
Molecule: ribosomal RNA, 253 nt
Filed under: uncultured bacterium
Lineage: Bacteria
Description: partial 16S ribosomal RNA
Rfam family: Bacterial small subunit ribosomal RNA
Source: RNAcentral